Drosophila teissieri is the source of this 460-nucleotide long non-coding RNA. RefSeq lists it as uncharacterized. The transcript is spliced from 2 exons. NCBI's taxonomy places the organism in Eukaryota, Metazoa, Arthropoda, Insecta, Diptera, Drosophilidae. The record is from RefSeq and is a predicted model, not a curated record.
UUAACUUGUGAGGGACGGUACUGGUUUUAACUUGUCUUUUUGGGCGUUGAGUUGGACGCUGGCGACCUGGUUUAUAUCACGGCCUACAUUUCAUGCCAAUUUUUCUUGCGCAUGAAAUACUACAUUUUCUUCACAUCUGCCACCUAAUGAUUUUUAGAUCUUGGCUUCACAUUUCCAUGUCACUUCCUGGUUACCUCAGCACUUCUUCAAACGAACUCAUCGCAUUCGCUCCACAAAUAAACAGGAAUAAAUGGAGAUGGAGGUCUUCGAUUUCGGUUUGAUAAGGUAACAAAUAAUGUCAUAAUCCAAAUGUAAGAUUGGUUAAUUUAAAAAGUUGACCAUGAAUUCAGGCAGAAUGCGCAAAAAGAUGAGUCGCAGCUGUGGUAACUGUAUUUAAAUUAAAUCUAAAAAAACUAUGUUUAUCACUUCUAUUUAUUAAAUUGGAUUUCUUUCCUAAUAA